RNAcentral lists this ribosomal RNA (465 nucleotides) under uncultured bacterium. RNAcentral describes it as "partial 16S ribosomal RNA". It matches the Rfam family "Bacterial small subunit ribosomal RNA", at positions 28 to 507 of the family's 1533-position model. The record is from RNAcentral.
GACGAACGCUGGCGGCGUGCUUAACACAUGCAAGUCGUACGGUAAGGCCCUUUCGGGGGUACACGAGUGGCGAACGGGUGAGUAACACGUGAGUAACCUGCCCACAACUUUGGGAUAACGCUAGGAAACUGGUGCUAAUACUGGAUAUGUGCUCCUGCUGCAUGGUGGGGGUUGGAAAGCUCCGGCGGUUGUGGAUGGACUCGCGGCCUAUCAGCUUGUUGGUGGGGUAGUGGCCUACCAAGGCGGCGACGGGUAGCCGGCCUGAGAGGGUGACCGGCCACAUUGGGACUGAGAUACGGCCCAGACUCCUACGGGAGGCAGCAGUGGGGAAUAUUGCACAAGGGGCGCAAGCCUGAUGCAGCAACGCCGCGUGCGGGAUGACGGCCUUCGGGUUGUAAACCGCUUUCAGCAGGGACGAAACUUUUUGUGACGGUACCUGCAGAAGAAGCACCGGCUAACUACGUG